AAUCCCAUGAGUUAGCAUACAACACCACUUCUUUCAAAAUCAUUAUGACAUUAUACCUAUCUUAACAACUAAACAAAAACUUGAUGAUGACCUAGAAUUGGAGGGGGAGUCCCUGGAAACUAGCUACUAGCUUACCAUGAUUUCUCAGCCUUCGUCUCUCAGAAGUGGUCACUCUUGACUCAUUUUAUGUGGAUGGCUGCUCUUUGGGAGAUGUUUAUCAGGUUGAAACAUGGCCUGCAUUAGUGGAAUCGAUGGGUAUUCGGUGAUAUUUUCCAGCGAGUGAGGGACUCUGAGGAGAGUAUCGACAAAGUAGCGAUUGAAAAGUUGAGACCAGGUAUGUAUAUAUUGUGGUGAGUAUGAGAGUUUCUUAUAUACUUUGUAGGUAAACACAAUUAUUAUAUCAAAUCACUUUUUAUGUAAUUUUACAUUGUUAUAAGUUUGGUUCAAUUUUAUAUAUGGAUUCAUGGGUAUGGUAUUGAUACAAUUUGUUUGAACGAACUUUUUACUUAUUAUUUACCAUCUCUUAUGCAAUAAAACACAGACUAAGUUUUUGUUUUAGAAGAUUUAUUUUUACUCAAAACUAGAUAUUCUCCUAUUAUGGAGGCACCAAUAAAUACAAUUUCUCCACAUUUUGAAAGGGGGAUUCCACACACUAAGAGGCAAGAAACACACUUUGAAAUUAAAGAGAAGCAAUUCAAGGGAUGAAAACAACAAGCAAUUAAACUUUUGGAUCAUUGAUUGGAAGAGGGAGAUGAUCUUGGUACUAAAUUAUAAUUUGGUCUUCUACAUUUUUACUACAAAUUCGGUGAUGUAUUCUAUGAUGAUUUAUUAUUUUUCCUCUUCCGUUAUGAAUAACUAAAUCUCUUGUUAGGGGUAAUAAUGUAACCCAAUUUGGGUCCUUUACGUCUUUUAGAUCCAUGUGCAUAAUCCAUGUAGAACUGUCU
RNAcentral lists this long non-coding RNA (944 nucleotides) under Olea europaea (common olive). RNAcentral describes it as "long non-coding RNA (OEUR_LNC011006)". The record is from RNAcentral. Lineage: Eukaryota; Viridiplantae; Streptophyta; Magnoliopsida; Lamiales; Oleaceae.